UACGUAGGGGGCAAGCGUUGUCCGGAAUUAUUGGGCGUAAAGAGCGUGUAGGCGGCCAGAUAAGUCCGCUGUGAAAUCUCGAGGCUCAACUUCGAGCUGUCGGUGGAAACUAUCUGGCUAGAGUCCGGAAGAGGAGAAUGGAAUUCCUGGUGUAGCGGUGAAAUGCGCAGAUAUCAGGAGGAACACCGGUGGCGAAGGCGGGUCUCUGGGUAGUAACUGACGCUGAGGAACGAAAGCGUGGGUAGCGAACAGG
Molecule: ribosomal RNA, 253 nt
Filed under: uncultured bacterium
Lineage: Bacteria
Description: partial 16S ribosomal RNA
Rfam family: Bacterial small subunit ribosomal RNA
Source: RNAcentral